RNAcentral lists this ribosomal RNA (530 nucleotides) under uncultured Nitrososphaerota archaeon. RNAcentral's name for it is "bacterial SSU rRNA". It matches the Rfam family "Archaeal small subunit ribosomal RNA", at positions 451 to 981 of the family's 1478-position model. The record is from RNAcentral. Lineage: Archaea; Thermoproteati; Nitrososphaerota.
UCUGGUGUCAGCCGCCGCGGUAAAACCAGCACCUCAAGUGGUCAGGAUGAUUAUUGGGCCUAAAGCAUCCGUAGCCUGUUCUGUAAGUUUCCGGUUAAAUCCAUUAGCUCAACUAAUGGGCUGCCGAAAAUACUGCAAAACUAGGGAGUGGGAGAGGUAGACGGUACUCGGUAGGAAGGGGUAAAAUCCUUUGAUCUAUUGAUGACCACCUGUGGCGAAGGCGGUCUACCAGAACACGUUCGACGGUGAGGGAUGAAAGCUGGGGGAGCAAACCGGAUUAGAUACCCGGGUAGUCCCAGCUGUAAACGAUGCAGACUCGGUGAUGCCCUGGCUUGUGGCCAGUGCAGUGCCGCAGGGAAGCCGUUAAGUUUGCCGCCUGGGAAGUACGUACGCAAGUAUGAAACUUAAAGGAAUUGGCGGGGGAGCACCACAAGGGGUGAAGCCUGCGGUUCAAUUGGAGUCAACGCCAGAAAUCUUACCCGAAGAGACAGCAGAAUGAAGGUCAAGCUGGAGACUUUACCAGACAAGCU